UGAGGAAUAUUGGUCAAUGGGCGGGAGCCUGAACCAGCCAAGCCGCGUGAGGGAGGAAGGCCCUAUGGGUCGUAAACCUCUUUUGUCAGGGAACAAAAGCGAGUAUGUAUACUAGUCUGAGUGUACCUGAAGAAAAAGCAUCGGCUAACUCCGUGCCAGCAGCCGCGGUAAUACGGAGGAUGCGAGCGUUAUCCGGAUUUAUUGGGUUUAAAGGGUGCGUAGGCGGCGGUGCAAGUCAGCGGUAAAAGCCCGGGGCUCAACCCCGGCGAGCCGUUGAAACUGCAGUGCUAGAGAAGGCGAGAGGUACGCGGAAUGCGCAGUGUAGCGGUGAAAUGCUUAGAUAUUGCGCAGAACUCCGAUUGCGAAGGCAGCGUACCGGCGCCUGACUGACGCUGAGGCACGAAAGCGUGGGGAUCGAACAGGAUUAGAUACCC
Molecule: ribosomal RNA, 434 nt
Filed under: uncultured bacterium
Lineage: Bacteria
Description: bacterial SSU rRNA
Rfam family: Bacterial small subunit ribosomal RNA
Source: RNAcentral